Molecule: unclassified non-coding RNA, 814 nt
Filed under: Hevea brasiliensis (rubber tree)
Lineage: Eukaryota; Viridiplantae; Streptophyta; Magnoliopsida; Malpighiales; Euphorbiaceae
Source: RNAcentral
GCAAGAUUGCAGAUGUCUGGUCGUGUGGAGUGACAUUGUAUGUCAUGUUAGUGGGUGCUUACCCUUUUGAGGAUCCUGAUGAACCAAAAGAUUUUCGGAAGACGAUCAAUAGGAUCCUGAGCGUGCAGUAUUCUGUUCCUGAGAACAUUCAGAUAUCUGAGGAAUGUCGCCACUUAAUCUCAAGGAUCUUUGUUGGAGAUCCGGCACAGAGGAUCACAAUGCCUGAAAUCAGGAAUCAUGUAUGGUUUUUGAAGAAUCUUCCAGCGGACUUAAUAGACGAUAGGAUGAUUAGUGAUCAGUUUGAAGAACCCGAUCAACCAAUGCAGAGCAUUGAUACGAUCAUGCAAAUAAUCUCAGAGGCAACAGUACCACCAAUUGGCUUGUAUAACUUGGAAAUGAUGGACGAUGACAUGGAUGACUUGGAUUCAGAGCCUGAUCUUGAUAUUGAUAGCAGCGGGGAGAUCAUAUAUGCAAUGUGAGUGCAUGCCAAGCUUGUGAAAAGGAAGUUGUAUCCACAAUCUUAGAACAUUUCUGGACUUGUUGGUGUGCAAGGCUUAGAGAUUGUUGAAGCUCAGUAACAUGAAAAUGGGGUAUUUACAAUGUUUGUAAUUAGUCAAGUUCUUAUCCUGAAAGGGGCUUUUAGUCUGCCCAUGAAUUAUUUCUUCUAUUACCAUAGGAGGAAUUGGCUGAAAAAGUAAUGGAGUUUCCAUACUUGAGUUCAUAAUCUCUUUAUAAUGUCAUACAGUGUUGUUCUUUUGUAACUCUGUACUUUCUUAUAUGCGUUUGUGUCAAAACAAAUUAUGUGCUCUUUCUG